ACUUAUAUUAUAAUUCUCUUAAAAUUUCUUCUUACAGUCCAAAGCUAUUUGCAUGGUAAUUUUUGAUAUAACAUUUUUCCAUGCGUCAGUUUGAAUAAUUUUAUUAACAUAGUUCGUAUAUAUUCAUGAAGCUCUUUUCUAUAUAAAAUCUAUUAAUAACAAACCUUACUUACUCUUUAUAGCAAAUUUUUCUAUAUAGUCGCGCUACAUAUGUUUUAUAUUAAAGUAAAAAACUUUCAGGAAUUCCUCGUAUAAAUAUAUUAACUUGUAAAUAUUUUGCAAGAAAAGAAAAUGUAGCUUAUCAUGUCUGUUUUGGGCAAUUUAAAAUUUUUUGCAAAUUCCUUGAGUUUUUGAACUUCGCUGCAAAUACACUAAAACAUAUCAUAAACAGAGGAAAUAGCCAGUUUCAGGAAGAUUUUCUGGUUUUCACCUGGGUUUUCGACAAAAUGACAAGCGUUUGUACAGAAAGCGUGCGAGCCUCAUCUUGCCUUUUGCGCCAGUAGAAUGGCGCACGAGCUCAAUGAUUCCUCGCUGGGCGACACAGAUUUUAUUUUUAAAUGAACGCUCGUGCUUUGUUAAUUUGUGUGAAAUCGUUCGUUUACAUCCCGCGCGUUUAGCGGGUCGACACGCCCUUUUGUGCCGCUUUCAAUCCUCGGCCAUCCCUAAAAGAUCCUUUCGGCAUGCACCUGUGAGUCCUGGAGCCAGCUGUCAUUCUUUACCUUCUCUCUAACUUCAUUGUGUACAAUUGUGUUCUCUCGCGGCGCUCUUCCACCCCCCAUCUCGGAAACCCCCAAAAAUCAAGUCCCGAUGAAGAUUGCUCAUACAAAAGUUCAGAAACCUGAGAAAACAAAAACAAUUUUCUACCAUUUCCGAGAUCGAUCUUCCAAAAAUCGUCAAGGUCUACAUUCUUUCAGGUGAUCUCCAACCUUUAGUGAUACAUAAUUCACACAGCUUUACCUUCGUUUUAUUUUCAUCCACGCGAGCCAGCGUUAGCACGCAAAUACAGCGAAAGAGGGUAAAAAAGAAAGAGGAGCUCGACGUGGUUCGCGCUGGUACCUUGUUCGAUCUCUCUCUCUCUCUCUCUCUCUCUCUCUCUCUCUCUCUCUCUCUCUCUCUCUCUCUCUCUCUCUCUCUCUCUCUCUCUCUCGGGCACGGGUUUCGCGGGCGGACUUCGAAGUGGCCAGUUAUUUAUGGCUGUGUGUAUUAGAGGUGGAUAUAAACGUCGGUUAUUGCAAACACUUAACAGUCCGUAUAUCAAUCAGACGCCAGCCUGAUGCGCAGCCCCCUCGAGAAAGAGAAUGAAGAGGGUGACGUUGCGCCGCACUUCUUCCCGACGCGCACCUCGCGAGGAGUGCAUCAUCGUCGGCGCAGUUGCAGCGACGCGUUCGAUGCACUCGCUCGACCAAGCGUUACGUGAGUGUACGCAACACCGACGAAAAUGCACGCAAACAUCAACGAUAUCUCUCCCCGACGAUGCUUGUUCACUUAUUUAUUUCUCGGUCAACUGGCCAUCUCGAGAUAACAGUCAGGAUAAUUUAUGCGGGAAGCAAUUCUCAACAUAUUAGUCGAAUUAAAUCAAUAAAAAAUUACGCAUUUAUAGAAUAGACAAAAAUAAUUACUACUGUGCUCAUUGGCGGAAAAGAUUUCGUGUAUGUGUUAGAUUCGCAUUCGGGACUCGUCAACUGUAAGUCUGAUUUUUACACUGACAAUGAGCUAUGCAUAGAUCAUUGAUCGCCAUGAUCAUAAAUGUUUCCACAAAAAUUACGAAAAUAUUUGGAAGGCCAGAAUUAAUCACUCACUUCUUAGAAAUUUCUUUCUUCAUUUGUCUACCUGUAUGUCCACCUAUCUCUUUAUCUUUACUUGUACGUAUCUAUCUCUUUAUCUUUUAUCUCUUUAAUUUACGGGAUUUAGUAAGCUUGAUUAUUUUUAGGUCCUCGGCUUCUUGCACCUACAUUAAUUGUCGCUUCAAUAUCAAGCAGGGGGAAACUUCUCGAUUGCCACGGAUCGCUAUCAAGCCCGAGCGCGGCGAGUGCACAAAUCACGACGUAACGCGCCGGUCUCUUCGGGGCCUCGUCGUAUUUUUCGUCGACGUAAUGUCCGAUGACAGCCGUGGCAGUUAAACGUGCAUCAUCGUCGUAUAUCGACGCGGAUGCCUCGUUGCCUCUGUAUCUAACUUCACCGCUGGACGAUAAGGCCUCUUAUUAAAUAUCCCAUAAAAAGCAGCCGUGUGUUUUCCCGUCCUCUCUCAGUCUCUCUCUCUCUCUCUCUCUCUCUCUCUCUCUCUCUCUCUCUCUCGUCUCUUCUCGCUUUUUUUCCUCUCCGUUUCUCUCUUUUUCCGUCUCUCUGACUUUCUCUGAAAGGAGGAGGAGGACAGCGAUCAUCCGUGAUCGACAUGGAGGGCCCCAUAAACGCGCGGCACGGAAUGUUGGUCAUCGUGCCGUCCCGAGCACGGAAUCGGAAUCGGUGGCAGUACAGCAAAUCAGACAUUUUAUUCAGCAUAACCGCCAAUCGGACCGACAGCUCUUCAUAUGGGUUAUCUCUUUGCUGCAGUGCGUCGCCGCUCUAAAUGCAGUCUUCAAAUGCCGCGUCGAGUCCCGUAGUGGGAAUGCGGUCCCAAUAGCACAGUGAUACUCAAAUCGCGCGAACGUCGCCUGAAUUUGGACAUGGCGACACCAGCUGCGCGUGCAACCGCAUAAAACUAAAUUGCAAAAAAGUUUCCAUUUAAAAUCUUAAAGGUUUUAAAAUCAGUAAUCUUAAAUUAUACAUUAUAUUAAUCAUAAAUACACUUAUAGGAUGUCCUAGUAACUUGUUCUUUCCAAGAAGAAACUUAAUUAAUACAAAAUUAAUUUUUAGACAAAAUACUUGAAAGCAGAUUUAAUUUCUCGAUAGUGUCUUAAUGUCAUUUUUUCCCAAGAACUGUCUGCCAAAUCGUUUUUACGCUGAUCUAAUUAAAGACCUCAAGAUCGAUCACAAGACGUACCACAAGGACCAGUUAGAAUUCAUAGAGUUAAUUAGCUGUGCAGCAAGUAUAUCGAUUUCCCCGAUGUCGCCACUAGUUUUCUGUUCGUCAACACUCGCGAGCACGCUGGUUUGAGAAACGCUGAAUGAGUCCGCCACAUUUCGUCGCUGCCGCAAUUAUACGCCGCGGAUGCAGCGCGCCAUUUGUAAGCGGCAACUCCGAUCCAAGUACGCGAACAACAUAUCGCCGGCGACAUAUUACACGAAGUGUUAUACCGCGGAUAUAUAUUUUGCGCAGGAGAAUUUUCAGCGGGACCAUUGCCGCAUGCCGAUGACGGUCCUCGUCGAAGAAUCGCACCGAAACGCUUCCUCGAACUUUCAAAAGACUGGAGACGCGUCUCGAUCGUCAACUCCUUUUUAUUUCUUUUGCUCUCUUUAAAGGAAUGCUGGAGUGACGGUCAACUUGAACGCGGUCGAUAAUAUAAAAUUAAUGCACAUCAUUAAUAAAGUUGCAAAUCUUUUAUAUCAAGCCAAUAUUAAGACGUGAUAACUCUACACGCCAUCUUUAACUAAGAAAUGGUAAAAAUACCGUGAAUUAUGUACCUGUCGUCAACAUCUCCUUAAAUCGGAGCGAAGAGACAAAUAGUGUAUAGGCAGAUCAAAACCAAGAGAAGAAAGGUAUUAUCCAUCGAUAAAAUCAAACUUUUCAAAAUCCGCGAGUUACAUACCUGGACACCACUUGUAAGAGCAAUUAUGAUCAUAAUUAAUCUAAGAUCAUAAUUAAUCAUCAUUUCUCUGCUAUAUCAUCUGCUUAGCUAUAAGUGUUAAGUCAUAGCUUUGUUGUCAUUUCCUUUCCGACGUUUAUAUUCGACGUCCAAUCGUCCGGAAAUCCCUCAACGCGACCCCAUCGCCUCCUCGAUCCGUCGCCGACAAUAGCUCGCUGCUGGAAAAAGCUAAUCGUACGAUCGUUUGCGAUUCGUUCGCGCCGCGAAUUUACUCCCGUGCAGGAUAUACAUCCGUACGCUUCCGCUGCAACCGCGGCGAGGAUUUAUCGUCUACAACCGCCUCGUUGCAGCUGUACCGUGAAAUCUACGGAGCGCGUGUGUAUAUCGGUCGUUCGUUUUUUUUCGGCCGCCACGUGAGGAGGAGAAAAAAAACAGUUGGAAAGAAACAUUUUUACGAUCCUUCCGCGAUAGAGGAGCGUCACCCUUGACUCUGCAGACGCAGUCCUUUCGCUUGUUCGCGGUAAAAAUGCGAAAUUCGAAAGACUAGGAACUUCAUAAAUCCCAGAUGUGGGGUAACCCAAAAAUCGGGUAGAUCGUCGAACUGUUCGACGUAGAAAAGAGUUAUAAUGCAGGAUGACGGUACGUUCAGAACUUUCCGGCUCCUCAAAAAGUCGGAAUUCGUAAAUAUACACCUUCGUCGACAAAACGAUUAACGCAUCGCGCGGCGGUGCUUCCUCUCGUUACACGCGAAUCGGAACGGUUACGUCCCCUUUUCGCCCAUCCCGGUAGUCUGAUUGUCUAAGCCAUCCAGGGACUCUAGCAGAUCUAAGCCGGACUUAAGCCGGUCGGGUCAGUGAACAUUCACACGCGAACAGCACCGCGACGUUGGAAACAACGAGCAACGGAAUCAGGGAGCCUUGGCUGGCUGGCUGGCUUCAGCUAGCGGUUCGUUCAGAUCUAGAUCCCAGAUUUAACUGCAGAUAUUAAUUAGGCGAGCACUGCUCGCGCGCGCGCGUUCGUGAAUUCUAACGGCCUGCGUAACGGCCAAACGUACAAAUUUCGUCUUCAGACCGAAAGGCGACUUCGCGUGCGAACGGUAGACUAACUCUCAUAGUCUUAGAUCUCUCUCUUUCUUCUUCUUCUCCUUCUCUUCUUUCCUUAGACAAGCGAUUCAUGUGAAAUAAGCUCUUGGGCAUUCAAAGUAUUCAUUCAUAUAUCUCAGGUAUUUGGUGUAUUCAUUGUACGAGGAGGGCAUUUUAAUCCUUAAUCACCGGGGCGCUGUCUAUAAAUUUAUAAGAAUUUGCACGCUAAACCUCUCAUUGCACGCUUCAGCCUUCAUCAAGAUCGGAAGCACGCCUCUGGUGCGCGUUCCUCAAAGGGACUUCCGGUGCACGUCAAUCGGAGCAGACGCGCACCGCGUCCGUCGCAUCAUAUUAUCGCCCGGCGAAGGGAAAAGAGAGGGGGGGAGGGAGGAGGGAGUAGAGUCAAGAGGUGGGAUGACUUUAAAGGGAGGAAGGUAAUUUUCAGAGGUAAUUUCCGAGCAUGAACGCGAGAAUGGGAAGCGCGGCUCGGGUGCGUCUACCGUGUUCCUGUCAUCGACGGAUCGCGCGCUUCGCUAUCUGAUGGUGAUUAUGCGAGAGCGGGGCGUGUGUACAGCUGUGUGUGCGCGCACAAUGUAUAAUAAUAAAAAGGCCGGCGUGUCUUAACGCACGGCCAACAAAUAUGCAUUAGUUGCAUUCGCGUGCACGUCCCGCGAACGCGCUAUGUGAACGUAUUGUGUUAUACCGGGUGACUCCGGAGAAUCUCGAUAUCGGUCGCAGGGAUAGCAUGUCCGUUAGAGACGAGCUGAGAUUUGUCGGAUUUUUCUCCGUUAACCUGAUGCGGGAUGCAUUUCAAACGUUACAUUAAUUGCGAAUGAACGUUUAUAUUUUAAAAAUUAAUUACACUGCCCAAAAAUCUCAGUACACUAGAAAUUUUCUCGCGUUUCAUGAAAAACAAAGUAUAAUAAAUCUUUAAAAAUUAUAGAAAAAAUUUGUGCAAAAAUCAAGCAUGUUUAACAUUCUUUUCGUUAAAUUUUCUUUAGUUUCAUAGUUAAGAACCAUUUUAUAAGAAAUAAGUUUUUUCAGAAAUCGAUAUCGUUGCAAGAAAUCACACUUAUUUUUAAGAAAAAAGCACUUUAAAGUUUAGAUAAAAAGCUUCUUAAAACUAAUUUUUUUAACUUUUAUUCAAUAAUGUUCAAUAAUUUCAUUAAAUUCAAACAACACUUCAAAGUAAAAAGAAUAUUAAGAGUAAAAACACCAAUUUUUUAACUCUAUGUAAUUUAUUAUAGAAACAAAAAUAUCGUAGAGAAAAUAAAAGACAGAUUCAAAGUUUUAUCUUUCCUCUUUAAAAUGCAUUUUUAAAAAACUCCUCUGCGAUUCUUUUAAUCAAGAUGCUUAACUCUUCGUAAGAUAAGAAAAAAAUUUCAAACGUGUUAAAACCUUUGAGCGAUAAUACAUAUCCUUUCUCUGUUUAAACACUCUUGAUCUUUAAUCAGGAAAAAGUCUUUUGAAUUACAACAAAUGAAAUAUUUCUGAAUAGAAGUGAAUCUUCCGUUGAACUUCUUUUUCAGAGAAAAACGUAAAAAAUGAAACAUGCUCUUGGUGAUACACUCUACUUCUUUACGUUUCAUUUUAAAUUACAAAUAUCUCACUGAUGGAAAGUACUGAUUAAAUUCUUUCGCCCUAAAAAAGGGAAUGGAAAAAGAGGAAAGAGAAGUAGCAAAGUUGAAUUUGAAUUCUCAUCGAAGAAUGCAUCUUGGCUAUAAAUUCUCAUUUCGUCUUUCUAGCCACCCUGUAUUUAUCUUUCAUAGGAAGUCGGCAGAAACUUUGUGGCGGGAAUCAACCACGCGAUAACCUGGCGUCUCUGAUUAGUAAUUAAACGCAUGACAGCCGACCGCGUUUUCAUCGCCUGCUUUUUCAUGAUUUUUCUAUUCACUCUCUUUAUCUCUUAGCCGAAUCUCCUUUUCGGAAUUAAAACUUUUACUGUAAUUAUUCCCGACAAUUUGAUUUAAGAUUUAAUUGCAAUGCAUUUAGCAUAAAAUCUCAUACUGACCGCGAUACCAUCUUGCAAUACGCACCUCGACCAUUUAGACAGUUUUUUAUUAAUCUUUGUCUUACACUCGAAUACAACAUGUACAUUCUUAAUUUUGAAUUAUUAGAUUUUUAAUAUGCUUUAUACAGCAAAUAUAAAAUUUGCCAUUUUUUUAAUAAGAUAAAAUGAAUUUCUUACAAAUUUCAAACCAUUAGUUUUCUUUAAACCUCGUUUUUACUAAUGUAAUUUAAUAUAAGUUUAACUUACUUUUUACUCUUUUUAACUCUAAAAAUCCUUAGAGCUAAAAAGAUAGAAAGUAAGUCAAAUCGAAAUUUUAGAGUUGAUCAGUAAAGGAGACAGAAGCUAUAUGGCAUCAUCACUUUAGUUUAAAACUUAUUGAAAAGAAAACUACUAAAAAUUAACAACGAAUGCUAUCCAGGAGUUUACAGAAUAAUCACGAAUCUGCUUUCAGAUUUUAAAAUACAAAAAGCUGAUUUAAUAUGGCGGAAAAACUUUUAUGUUUUUCAAUUAAUUACUCUAAAGUUUUGAUUUAGUAAGAGUUUGUAAGAUCGCUCAUUAUAAAUUAUUUUCUUUCAAAUUUCCAAAAUAAAAAAUAACAGAUUUAAUGCAACGAACAUUGAUAUUUUUUAAUUGCUUUUAAAACUUUGCUUUUACAGGUUUUUUAAGAUUGCUGAUUAUGAAUCUGCAAUUAGAGUUUCAAAAUUUAAAAUGACGGAUCCAAUAUAGCAGAUAAAAGUAGCAAAUUGAAAAAUUACAUCUUUUUACAUGCUUUUUUAUCAUUUUGUAACGAGAAACCGCUCUGAGCGAAACCAAAAUCACGACAAGAACAUGCCGGUAUUCAAUCCCAUUUUUUAUUUUUCCUUGUUUUUUAUUUUUUCUAUUUUAAAUUUUAAAAUUGGAAUUGCAAAUUUAAAUCAUACAUCAAAAACAUUUAUGGAUAAUUUCUGAACCUAUUAAAAUGUAUCAAAAUUUAUCAUUUUUGUCUGCUAUAUUGGAUCCGCCAUUUUGGAAAUUUCAAUAAUAACCAUACAGACGUAAUUAAAGACCUCAAAAAUUCGUAUAACCAAAAUUUCACAGAUUUUUAUAAAAAAAA
RNAcentral lists this long non-coding RNA (7869 nucleotides) under Monomorium pharaonis (pharaoh ant). RNAcentral's name for it is "uncharacterized LOC118645718". The record is from RNAcentral. Lineage: Eukaryota; Metazoa; Arthropoda; Insecta; Hymenoptera; Formicidae.